GAGGAGGAGGAAGAGGCUGCGACGUGGCUCGAUACCUAGUUUAUUAGAUUUUUAAGAUUCUUUUGUGUAGCGCUAUCUGUUGAUCCACAAGUGGAGAGCUUUUGUGUGAAAGCGGCUGCAUGAGCAGGAUGCAUAUGGACAGAUGUUUAUGAUAUCAUGUAUUCAUGGUAAGUGGUAGUCGGUUUUGGAAUAUGUAUGUAAAGUAAGUAAAAUGACAUGUGAUGACGUGCGUUUGCUUUAGCACGAGCCCCCACGUCAUCGACCUACUAAUGAUGUAAGCCCUCGAAUAAGCCAUGCCUGUCCUGGACUUACCUAAAUGUCGAAGCUCGGAUACUAAUUAUUAUUAUUAUUAUAUAAGAAAGGGAUUAAAGAAGAUGACGAUGAGGAAAGAAAUUCACAAAAAUUGUUAAUAGACAGAGUUCAGUCUGCUCUUUUGCAGUCUCAAGCUCUCUCUCGUUUUUAUACUUUCUCAGAUCUUCUAUGAAAAUAAUCUUUGUGCGUAAUUAACGUAAAUAAACUGGAAAAUACAAGAAUUAUUAGAGGGCGAGAAAUUAAUCAGCUGAUAUACCUUUAAUUCCUAUAUAACCCGGACAUCUAUGUAUGGUCUACUAGAUCUUUUAAUAUGACAUUAUUACACCAUUAGUAUUUAUACUCAUCUUCUUUUUUCACUGUCAAUUAUUUCAAUUACUAAAAUUUCUUAUAGCAAAAGAGUUAAACCUUGCUCACAUGGGGUGCGGUUAAGGAGAGUGGUUUGAUUUCUUUAUUAUAUAUGAUAAUCUAAUUUUGAUUACGGAAACUAUAAAUUUUACCUAAUGAAACAUGAAAAUUAAUGAAAUAGUCCAAAAACCCAGUUAUGCUUAAUGAGUCUCCUAUGUUGUUACGCACUCUACUUUAGUCAUUUUAAUUCUAGUUUUAUACAAUAAUGUUAGAUGUAGACCUUGUAGUUACAGUAAAUUCCAAUUGCCAAACAUAUAUUUCUCUGUCUACCUAUGAAGUUCUUCUGAUGGUUUUGGUACCUUUAAAGUUAAUUGAGAAUGAAUGAAAUAUUGUUGCCAAUAUAGCGCUAUAUUCACCCACAUGUAAGGCGAAUAUUGAAGGAAUUUUUUAAGGCAUACGAAAUUCAAACUACAAAAGCAUUGUUAAUUUUUUGAUUGCUCUUUCCACCAAACCAAAAACCUAAGAGAAUUAACUGCUUCUAGCCAGGAGAUUUUGAGAUUAACUGAAAAGCAUUUGAAUUCUGAAAGAGAGAAUUAAGAAAGAUAUAUAAUAAUAUGAAAAGUAACAUUAUAUAUUUUGAAAAAUUGAAGUACAUACGGAUUCAUCUUAUUUCUCCUUUUCACCAUAAUUGUUGCAUAUUACUAAAAAAGAAAAAAAUUGAAAGAAUCAAAAGGAUUCGAACUUCAUUUGAAAUCUUUUUUUCUUUUUAAAUGAACCUUGGCUAUCGAGAUAACUUUAUUGAAAGUAAAGAAUAAUACACUCAUAUCAUAGAGACAUAGUGGGCCUUAGAUAACUGCAAUAACAAAAGAAAAAUAAAAAAUAUAGACAGCAAAAUAACAAAAGAAAAAGUAGAAAAAAAAAACAAACUUCAGAAAAAUGAUAACUAGAAGUCCAUUGGUAUCAUUAGAAAGAAAUCUAAAAAUUUUUAGUGACAAAUUAUCCCAUCAAAUGAAAGCAGCGCACUCUAAUUCUAGAUUUUACCAAACAAUAAUUAGUGGCUGAUUUUAGCUUUAUUUGAAAUGUGCACACAGAAUCCGUAACAAACUAAAAUGAAUUUGCUGAGAUUGGGUCGUACAAUUUAAGUCUCUUUAUUUUCUUCACUCAAAAUAUUUUAGAGAAGGGAUCAAGAAGAAGGCAUAUUAGUUGAUUCGUGGCCAUCUUUUUUUUUUUUUCACUUGUCCCAAAAGUUGUCGCGCACGACAUGACCUAAAGUUCUUCUUCCGUUCGGAAACGUGUGCCAGUAAUGUGUAAACUCAACUACAGUUCUCUCAAAGCACAACUUAUUAGCCGUGGAUGGUUUUAUUCCUUGCAAAAAACAGCAGCUUCCGGGAACAAUAACUUUAUCACAAAGUAAAAUUGUUUCUGUCUAUCUGUAUCCAAUUUGGUUUUGUUUAGAAAAUAUUAAUGUAUAUGUUAAAAGUCUCUAAAAUUUAAUACAUAACCAAUGUUAUUUAUGUUGCUGAGAUUAUAAUAAUUAUGCGCCAGUGAAGAAAGCGAUUGUCUGUCGUACGUUACAGCUAUCAAUACACACGUUUUACUGCUGAAUUUACAGUUCAGAUAUCUUAUAUUUUGUUCUUUAAUUUUUUUCCUUUAAUCUGCAUAUCUCCUCAACCAAGUUAUUUUUUUCCCUUCAUUUUCCAUAUAUUCAAUCAACAAGUUUCUCAUGUUGCUCCGAAAAUAGGAAGUCCCAACCCCCCAAGGAAACAAAUACAGUGAACCCAUCAAAAUCAUAUGCAUAGUUGUUGUACGGACUUAACAUGUUCAAGUAAAGAAUGCCAUCGGCUUUGGCUUAGUAUGUUGAAACGAUAAAAAGAAAAAUUUUGUUCUUCUUUUUGAUUGAUUCACAAGGAAGACUGGGUGCAAUAUCUGGAAAUUGGGCUUAUACUGAAUAUGCUUUUUAACCCUUUUUUCCCCCUAAUCUUCAUAUACAAAAGUUACAUUCAAGUUUAAUUAAUUGGAAACAUGCUCUUGGGUUGCUCCAUCAAGCUUGAGAACGUGCUAAUGCGACAUCGUCCCACCAGAUUCUGAUUCAACUUCCUUGCACGAUAGGAAUUUGGAGCUGCAAGCUUCGACAGAAAUUCAUAUUACAGCUCACCCAGAAACUAUCAUCUGUUAGUAUAUGCACAAAUAUUUAGCGCAGAAAUUCCCUCACCUUUAUAUCUAAGCAAAUAUGCUUCUUUUGACCUGAAUAUGAAUAAUAAAAAACCCCAGAUUUUUCCAAUAAAAACAUCAACAGCAAUUUGUAAGUUUUUUUUUUUAAAAAAGGAAAAUAUAGUGUGCGUGUGCUCACCUGAUGUGUUCUGGUGAUGUUGUGAUAUGUUGUUGUUGGUAGCUAGUCAUUAAUCGCCGUUGCAGCAUCAUCAAGAUUCUCACUGACAAAAACCAAGGCAAGCAAAAAUGAAGAAAAAUUGCUGCUUUUGCCUUUAGACUGCAUGUGAAUCUUGAGGACGCUGCUACAGCGAGCAACGACUGUUUUAAGGUGACGUGGCAUGUAGCAAAGGGUUUUAAGGUUAGAGUUGCAUGAGCAUGAAAGAUAUUUCAUUUAAAACGGAAAGGGUUUUAAAGAUCUGCGGAGAAAGGAUGGGAACCGCUCAUAAAUAUUUCUAAUAAUUUUAUAUAUUUGCUUUUGAAAGGGUAGGAAGUAAUUGAAAUGGUCAAGAUCUGACCACUCACCAGUGUUAUCUUCAAAGUACCGAACUAUGAAGAUAUCAAAGAGAGUGAGAGAGAGAGAGAGAUCAUUUGUAUUCUGUAAGGAAGGACUGAAGAACGGAGAGAUGAGAAAAUUGUGUGAGGAAGAGGGUCACUCGAGGUCCAUUAUAUACAGGCUGAGGACUGGAAGGGCUUCUUGUGUGACCGCUUGGUGGACGAAAGUUUUGCACCAUCUUUGAUUUCGAGGUGACACGUUAGCUGACUCCGGAUGGCAUUACCUUCACGCAAACUACAUUAUCCAAUACCUUUAUGAGAUACACAUAAUCUGAAAACUAUUAUAUGCAUAUGAAUAUGUUAAAUAAAUUCAAAGAUAUUACCAGCAAGUGCGUAGAUCAAUUGGUAAUAAAUUGUUCUAACUUAAUUAAGGUCUUCAGUUCAAGAUUUGAAAAUACAGCCGCGUUAAAUAUUCGCUGCCCUAGUAAAUAAAUUCAAAGAUAUUGUUUGUAUUUGAUUAUUUAUCUUUAUUAUGUCUCUAAAUUUUUUUAAAUGACGCCACCUAAAACUUUUUAUAAGAAGAUGAUCAUUUAUAAAAUAUGUGAUAUAAUUCUAUUAAACGGUUUCAUUGAGACCAUACUACUUACAAUUUUCUCGUAUUCAACCUUUACUAGAAUUAUGAAUGGUAAUAGCUAUUGGAGAGUAGGUGAUGUACCAAAGAUAUCCAAUUUUUUUUUUAAUAUUUUCAUAUGAAAUCUUAAUAUUUAUUUAGUUUCUCAAAACUUAGAUAGUUUUCAUGAAAAAUCAUCGUGGACCAAACCUACAAGUUUUCGUUAAACAUAAAACAUUAUUUCACCACUUUAAUUAUCAAUUUAACACGACCUUUCAGAAUUCAAGAAAAUAGUAAAAAUAGUUAUUGGAGAGCUCAAUGAUGAAAAGUGAAAAUGGCUACGGUUAUGUCCGAUCAAAGAGAUUGGUCAGAUGUAGAUUUUUUUUUUUUUUUCAAAUUGUAGAUUCGGUUUUUUAAGUACAUACGCUAUCUUUCGAAUUCUUAGUGGAUUCAGAAUUUUUUAAAGUAAUUACAAGUUUACUACUCAAUCCCACGUGGAAAGAAAAUAGACCAAUCCACUCAAGUGAUUAUUUUUACAACAAUGCUGCUUUGUUUUUUUUUUUUUAAAAGGGUUAUCAAAUUUGGGUCCAGUUAUGGUGCAAUUGUGGUACCAUACCACAACUACACCUAACUAUUGGAUCCAGUUGCACACAUGUACUAUAAUUGGAUCCAAUAUUUAGGUGCAGCUGUGGUAGUUGCACCAUAAUUUUGUCCAUCAAAUUUUGAUAAAAGCAUAAAAAAGAAAUCAAAAUAUCAGAGUAGUUAUAAACAAUUUGCUUUUUUGUCAACAUACUUUAGUCUUUUUCUAUUUCCUAUAAAAAACUUGUAACCCAAUUUUUUGUCAAGAUAGUACUCUUCUUACUCUUAACAGCGACAUUUAAGCAAAAGAGCUAUGAAAAACUCCGUGGAGUUGUAUAGGCAAAGACUGCUCUAAUAUAUGAACUGUUAUCCCUUUUGUAAGGCGUUUAUGCAGGAAGAGUGAGUUGAACUAAUUAGGGAGUUUUGCUGAUGAUUAAGUAAAGAUUAAGACUGUGCAUAACAAUUAGUUCAGUUUUAACUUCGUGGAGAGGUUCGAAUUAAACCAGUUUACAUGUGCGUGAAGAAUGGGUAAAAGUGUGAAACUAUUUACGUCAAAGAAAUGAUUUUAAAAAUAAUAAUAAUAGUGAAGGCGUUAAUUGAACGAUUGCCUAAUUGCAUGUAGUAAAUUUACUGUUUAGUCCCGUUACAGCCACUGUUUUACAUUAUGGCCCUCUCAGUUUUUUUAUGGUUUAUUAUUACGUCCCCCGCAAACCCAAAAUCGUGGUUCCCUGCUGCAAGGAGAUUAGUUCCUUGUCAUUUCUAUGUUAAUAUGUAUAUACGGACUUGACUAGCUUACAGAAUCUGUAAGCUACAGACUGCAGCAUCAGCCGUUGGAUGUGGUUGGAUGUGGAGUGAGAAACUAAACAAUAGAAAAUCGGAUGGUGGGAUGACGGGAGAUGUUUGUUACAGAAUCUGUACCAUAGACAGGUCCUGUAUAUACAUAUACAUAUAGAACUAGCUAGCUAGUAUAUGAAAACUUGUGCGUCAGCUCCCGAAAAAUUAAGCCAAGAGUAAGAAAUUUACUUAAUUUGACGAGCAUCAGUCAAAAUUCUAACGACAAAAAUAACGUGUGUAUAUAUUAGUGAGCAUAUAAGUAUAUAUAUAGGCUGUAUCAUAAUAAAAUUAAAUUGGAUUAUUCUCUGUAAAUUUGUACUGUAUUCUAUAUAUUUUUCAUGAUUUGUGCAAACAAAAGGAAUAUCAAAGUAGCUUGUUUUAUCAUCAACAGUGGCGAAGGAGAUUAGGUCCACAUAUUCUCAUGCCAUAUGUUUUAUUUCAAUUUGAAAAUCGAGCGGAUACGAGAGUAUCUUAUUUCUAGUAGAAAUAGAUUGGAGAGAGACAUAGAAAUUGGUACAAUUAUUGGUAUGAUGAUACAGUCAGAGGAUAAUAUUUAUAAUAAGCAAUAAUUUUAACCUAGACUUUUGUAAAAGAUGCCGAACGACGUCCCGCUGGCAGGCUUUGAAUUGUUUCUUCGGACCACACAGUGUGUUUAUUAUCUAUUGUUUAAUGGAGGUCAAAUUUUGCCUGACACCACCCUUAAUUUCUUAGUUUCACACGAAUCAUCGAGUAAAACUUGAAGAUUUCACUCUGCUUGGUGUAUUCUUUUUUCAAGGAAUCAAUGAUUCAUUGCAGAAAGCGCUUGGAUGUGGAUGCUGCUCAUCAAGAUUCAAGACUGUGUAAACAGCGUAACUAUGACUCCAUUUAUCCCUUUGGCAAUUGGUAUUUUAAUCAUUGUGAUUUUUAAAUCCACCCUUGCUGUAAAAUAUAGUUAUCUACUGUCCACACAAAAUAAUAAAAAUUAAUUAGAUGUCAACUAAGAUAGAAUUUCAUUGUCAAUUUGAUAGCUACAUCUAAUUUUUACAGGUCUUUGAUAAAUUGUUGCUAUUAUUUUGAAUUUGUAAUCUCUUACUUCCAUUAUAAGCGUUUUUUUUUUUUGAACUGAUUAAGCAUGAGGUUACUGUAUUACACAGAGAUAUUUACAAAUGACAACAUAUCAUUGCAUUGAUAAUAUUUACAAUCAGAUAUAUAUCUGGGACUUACAUUAUUACAUUUUUAUUCUUUGAAGUAUACGCCCAGCCAAAUACCCCUCUCGGUGAGGGAUGUCUCUAUUCCACUCGCAUUUCGCAAGAGAAAAAGACGUUAUAAGUAAUCUCCACACAAUUAUAAUUAAUUGAGGGAGUUUGAGUCUGUAGGGACUCGAACCAUUGCCCUCAUAGUCAUGCUUGACUUUAAGGACAAUGAUUCACCACUGGGCUACAAGCCCAAGUGGCUCCAUUAUAAGAGUUAAGCUACCUAAUCGAUGGUUUACAUAUAAUUUUUUAUGAAAUUUAUGAUCACAAGAAAAAAAAAGAUAAAAAAAUUGGUAUUUCUUGAGAAUGAGCAAGCCAUUCAUCAACAUCCAGCUUCCACCAUCACUACCACCACUAACCUUUAUCGGCAUCAUUUUCGUAUGUAAAUUUUUAUCAGGAGAUUUUAUUUUGUUAUCAUCGCUAAUUAUUAUAAUUCUAACUUUUUUUUAUCAUCAUACGUAUGUCAUCAAAGACCUUUAUCUGGAAAAUGGUUGCUGAUUUGCUAUACAUCACCAACGCUGUGUAUUAAACUUGUUAAAAGAUAAGUUGUGAUAAUAUAUGACAAGUGCGAAUUGAAGUCAUAUUGUACGAUGCCAUUCAACCUGCCCUAUAUCUUCUUUUGCUGUUAAAGCUUUAUUGGAAUAAUCAUUCAGGUGAAUGAAAAUGAUUGUUUUGUUGAAGAUUUUUUGAGUUACAGUCACACUACAACUAUUUCACGCAUGAAUAGGAGCAAACCUGGGGCUUUGAUUACAUCAUUAGCCUCUAUGAUUGGAAAACAGUGCCCCACAUGCGGUUAUUGACACAAUACUUAAUUAAAUCUCAGUCGCACAUUUAAAGAAACCAAACUCAAAAGCUUAAAUUGACAGAUAAAGGCCAACAAAUAUAAUUGCGGACUAUCAGUCUUAAAACUCUUAACAAUUCAUCACGAUAUGUGCAGAUUUCCACCAAUAGAUUUAAGCUCAUUAUGUGAUGUAAUGAUAGUUAACAACAUCUCGCUAAUUAAGCAAACCAAAGAUGAAAAUGGUUCUAAGAGAAACUUUUAAUGCAAAAAUGUCUAUACAAUAAUAUGCACCAUUUGAUGUAUCAAUGCGUACGUCUGUAAUUUUAUUGUUUUUUAAGGUUCUUGAAUGUGGAUAUCGUAUUGCACCUUUUUUUUUUUUUUUUAAUGUGUACUCUUAAAACGCACAUUAAUUAUUAUUUGUAUAGCUACAUCGUGCGGAGAGUAGGAGGAUAAUAUUUUACUUAAGCUUAAUUUGAUAGCUCCUCUAAUCUAAAUUAAUGAUUAAAAAGAAAAAUCUUUAAAAUAAGUAGUCUUAUCCGAAAAAUCGUGAGUGUGUGUGUAGACGUGAGAGUGAAAACAUUCACGAGAUGCAAAAAUAAUUGUCCUUCACGUCCAGCUAGCCCUUCUGUUUUAGCCAUUGACCCUAAACUGUAGGUUGUCUUCAUUGCAAGCAACUAAGCAAUGGUGUGAGAGAUAUGUCGCUCCGUCAAUAAUUUCGUCUCUUUCACAACUUAGUGGGUUACCUACAAGCUUAUAGGGCUCAAUAGCUGAGGCCAGGUAUAUAAAUUAUGAGGCUUCCUGAGAUUCUUCGUCCUUUAGCUUUGGUUACGGCGCAGAACUGAGUUAUCUGCUGGACGAGAGAGUGAUCGCCACAAAAAUUAAUCUUUUAUAAUAUUUUUAUAAAAAAAAAAUAAAACAAAAGAAAAAGAAAAGAAAGUAAGAAAGUGGAUUGCAAAUCCAACCAAAGAAAAAGGAACACAUGCAACACGCCUCAAAAUUAGGGCCACAAUCCAAACAAUCUGACGUGCGCCUGCAAGUGCUUGUGUGGGUGCUAGCUGCUAACCCCACUUUCUAUUUUUCUUUUCGAGAAAUGAGAUUAUGCGGAACGCGUUGGAGCAAGCAAGCUGCAAGCAUUCAAAAGCAAAUAAGCAGUAAUACUAAUUCACGUAUUAUACAUGUUGAUGAGAAUGGACCAAAACUGUUCCAACAGUGACAAGCAUGAUCCCCAAUUUUAACCAAGGUUAAAGUAAUAAUUUUUUAUUGCCAUAAAACUAGUUGUUAAAGAUCAGUAUACAACCAUUUGACUGAAAAAAUCGAACACCACCUCUUUCAUGGCUUUCAAAUAUUCGCCCGUAAGAAAACAAUUGGCUUUAUUUUCUUGGGUGUUUUGCUGUGAAAAGAUGAAAGAAGAUUCAAUGGAGAAAGAAGUCGUGAUAUGUACCAUCAAUCACAAUUCACAAACCAUGUGCAAUUUGUCUUGUUCAAUCAGGUUACUGCUGUGGAGAUAAAUAUGAAGUGUCAUCUCCUUCGUGCAUACGCAUUUUAAACCCAACUUUAUUUUCUGUGGGACAUAUAUACUUCCUUCCUUAACUCUCUAACAAAAUAUUCUAUAACUAAGGCAGUAAAAUUCUUAAUUAUAAAUUUAUAAAUCUUGUAAACUCUCCAUAACCCUCCACAGGUGAUGAAUAAUAAUAUAGGUACGUUUAACAAUGGUUUGAUAUCACACAUCUCCACUAUUCAUUUGUCCAAUUUUGGAGGGUUAUCAAACAAUUGUCAGAAUGAUGAGAAUAAGCCCAAUUGACUUGGACGACUUGGGUUUUGGCCUCUUAGGAAACCCCAUUCAAAGGCCUUUUCUUUAAGGUAAAUAUGGGCCGCCAUGUAAAACCCAAACUUUUGAAUUGGACUCAUUAGAUAGCCCGAGUUAGUUGACUACAAAUAAGAGUGCCCAAAUAGUUUAUUGAAGCACCCCUACCCAUUUAGUGGUAACACCAAUUUAACCUCACUUAAAAUCAUUCUUAUAACCCCAAUUUUUCUCUCUUAAAAGUCAAAGCAGAAGUUUUAUUUUCUUUAAAAAAAAUUCUUAAAAAUUUUCAUCGAAUAUUUUUAUUUAAUUGAUCACAAAAAUUUAAGUUCUGAAUAGGAAGAAGAUAAAAAUUAAUUUUGGCUUUUAUCACUCCUACAUUUAAAAAUAAUGUAUAUAUACUAUUAUACAAAUUUAUUGUUCAUAUUUGCUUAUUCUUGGUUUAAAAAAUAGCAAUAAUAAAAAGGUAUCUUGUUCGGGAUAUUAAAAUUUUUCUAAAAUUAACAAAUAAUGCAAAAAACAUGUUUAUUGUACGAGUUUUUAGUUAAAGAAUAUAUCAUUGCAUUUUACAUGUGAGUUUAAUUAAUAUUUUAUAUAAUUGAAGGGGCAAGCAUGGGCUGGUUUGGUUUAAAACCCAAACCAAAUCAUAAAAGUUUGGGCCCAAUUCAAACCAAUCCAAAUCAAUUAAUUUUGAGUUUAGUUUGAAUUUUAUGAUCAUUUUAUAUUUCGAUAAAUUUUGUUAUGUCAAAAUUACAAUAAUUAAAUUAGUGUUAAAAUAUAAAAAAUAUAGUGGAUAAAAAAUUAUAAAUAUAAAUUUUGCAAUAACUUCAUCCUUAAACCAAAUAAUACUAGAAAAUUAAAAUAAAAUUUAAUCACAAAAGUCAUUAUUUCUCAAUAAAUAAGAGCACAAACUCUAAUAAUAAAAUUCCACAAGAAUGACAUCAACAAGUAAAUUGAAAGAAAAAAAAUAAAAAAUUAGUAGUAUUAAUCGUAUUGCAACACAAAUUCUAACAAUUUUCAUACAAAUUAAAGUAAGAUAAGACAACCCAAUUCAAGUAUCAAAGCAAUUCAUCAUAAUCAUUCUCAUCUGGAGUACUUUAAUCAAGAGCUUUCAUGAUCAACCGAGUUGCUCGAUCACCAACAAACAAAUAACAAAAAAAAAAAUUAUAAUGUUGAAUAAUUAUAAAGGUGAGUAAAUUUGGACAGGAACAUACCAAAAUCAUGAGCAUAACAUCGAUACAAAACAGUCGCCUUCGUGUUACACUUAAAUCAAAUUAUAUAUUAAAUAAAAAUAAAGUAAAAAAAUCUAGUGAUAAAUAAAUAUAUAAAUUUUUUUACUUGUUAUGAUAAACAAUUACCUGACAUCAUGGCUUUAAAAUUUUUUUUCAUAUAAUUAAAACACAAACAAUAUCAAAUUCAAAACAAACAGUCAGAUAAAUUAAAAUUUUCCUUUCUUUUUUUGGCAUUUAAGAGGUUCAGAGUAUGAAACUGCUUCAUCAAUCAGGAAUUUUCUGAAGCAGAACUGGCAAAUAAGCUGUAUAUUUUCCUCCGUGACUAGCCUAGGUUCCGGAGAGUCUAAUGCUGUCGAAAACCAACUAGAGGAGAAUUAAAGCAGAACGGGCAUACAAGCAGGAAUGAAUUCAUUUUCAUUUGUUUUGUUUAAUUUAUUUUCGCUUUUGAGUUUUGGGAAGGUAAACCAUAUCCAAAAGAUAAUGAAGUAGUUUCUUACAUAAAACACAAAUCUAACCCAUUUUUAUUAUUUACCCAACCCAAAACAAAUUUAUUUUGGUGUCGCAGUCUACAGUCUACUUAGAAAGUAAUUUUAAGUCUAAAAUUAGUUGUAAAUAUCUAGUUUUAAGACGAUUUUGCAGGAGUGUAAAUCCCCCCCCCCCCCCCCCCUUUUUUUUUUUUUUUUUUUUUUUUUUUUUUUUUUUUUUUUUUUUUUUUUUUUUUUUUUUUUUUUUUUUUUUUUUUUUUUUUUUUUUUUUUUUUUUUUUUUUUUUUUUUUUUUUUUUUUUUUUUUUUUUUUUUUUUUUUUUUUUUUUUUUUUUUUUUUUUUUUUUUUUUUUUUUUUUUUUUUUUUUUUUUUUUUUUUUUUUUUUUUUUUUUUUUUUUUUUUUUUUUUUUUUUUUUUUUUUUUUUUUUUUUUUUUUUUUUUUUUUUUUUUUUUUUUUUUUUUUUUUUUUUUUUUUUUUUUUUUUUUUUUUUUUUUUUUUUUUUUUUUUUUUUUUUUUUUUUUUUUUUUUUUUUUUUUUUUUUUUUUUUUUUUUUUUUUUUUUUUUUUUUUUUUUUUUUUUUUUUUUUUUUUUUUUUUUUUUUUUUUUUUUUUUUUUUUUUUUUUUUUUUUUUUUUUUUUUUUUUUUUUUUUUUUUUUUUUUUUUUUUUUUUUUUUUUUUUUUUUUUUUUUUUUUUUUUUUUUUUUUUUUUUUUUUUUUUUUUUUUUUUUUUUUUUUUUUUUUUUUUUUUUUUUUUUUUUUUUUUUUUUUUUUUUUUUUUUUUUUUUUUUUUUUUUUUUUUUUUUUUUUUUUUUUUUUUUUUUUUUUUUUUUUUUUUUUUUUUUUUUUUUUUUUUUUUUUUUUUUUUUUUUUUUUUUUUUUUUUUUUUUUUUUUUUUUUUUUUUUUUUUUUUUUUUUUUUUUUUUUUUUUUUUUUUUUUUUUUUUUUUUUUUUUUUUUUUUUUUUUUUUUUUUUUUUUUUUUUUUUUUUUUUUUUUUUUUUUUUUUUUUUUUUUUUUUUUUUUUUUUUUUUUUUUUUUUUUUUUUUUUUUUUUUUUUUUUUUUUUUUUUUUUUUUUUUUUUUUUUUUUUUUUUUUUUUUUUUUUUUUUUUUUUUUUUUUUUUUUUUUUUUUUUUUUUUUUUUUUUUUUUUUUUUUUUUUUUUUUUUUUUUUUUUUUUUUUUUUUUUUUUUUUUUUUUUUUUUUUUUUUUUUUUUUUUUUUUUUUUUUUUUUUUUUUUUUUUUUUUUUUUUUUUUUUUUUUUUUUUUUUUUUUUUUUUUUUUUUUUUUUUUUUUUUUUUUUUUUUUUUUUUUUUUUUUUUUUUUUUUUUUUUUUUUUUUUUUUUUUUUUUUUUUUUUUUUUUUUUUUUUUUUUUUUUUUUUUUUUUUUUUUUUUUUUUUUUUUUUUUUUUUUUUUUUUUUUUUUUUUUUUUUUUUUUUUUUUUUUUUUUUUUUUUUUUUUUUUUUUUUUUUUUUUUUUUUUUUUUUUUUUUUUUUUUUUUUUUUUUUUUUUUUUUUUUUUUUUUUUUUUUUUUUUUUUUUUUUUUUUUUUUUUUUUUUUUUUUUUUUUUUUUUUUUUUUUUUUUUUUUUUUUUUUUUUUUUUUUUUUUUUUUUUUUUUUUUUUUUUUUUUUUUUUUUUUUUUUUUUUUUUUUUUUUUUUUUUUUUUUUUUUUUUUUUUUUUUUUUUUUUUUUUUUUUUUUUUUUUUUUUUUUUUUUUUUUUUUUUUUUUUUUUUUUUUUUUUUUUUUUUUUUUUUUUUUUUUUUUUUUUUUUUUUUUUUUUUUUUUUUUUUUUUUUUUUUUUUUUUUUUUUUUUUUUUUUUUUUUUUUUUUUUUUUUUUUUUUUUUUUUUUUUUUUUUUUUUUUUUUUUUUUUUUUUUUUUUUUUUUUUUUUUUUUUUUUUUUUUUUUUUUUUUUUUUUUUUUUUUUUUUUUUUUUUUUUUUUUUUUUUUUUUUUUUUUUUUUUUUUUUUUUUUUUUUUUUUUUUUUUUUUUUUUUUUUUUUUUUUUUUUUUUUUUUUUUUUUUUUUUUUUUUUUUUUUUUUUUUUUUUUUUUUUUUUUUUUUUUUUUUUUUUUUUUUUUUUUUUUUUUUUUUUUUUUUUUUUUUUUUUUUUUUUUUUUUUUUUUUUUUUUUUUUUUUUUUUUUUUUUUUUUUUUUUUUUUUUUUUUUUUUUUUUUUUUUUUUUUUUUUUUUUUUUUUUUUUUUUUUUUUUUUUUUUUUUUUUUUUUUUUUUUUUUUUUUUUUUUUUUUUUUUUUUUUUUUUUUUUUUUUUUUUUUUUUUUUUUUUUUUUUUUUUUUUUUUUUUUUUUUUUUUUUUUUUUUUUUUUUUUUUUUUUUUUUUUUUUUUUUUUUUUUUUUUUUUUUUUUUUUUUUUUUUUUUUUUUUUUUUUUUUUUUUUUUUUUUUUUUUUUUUUUUUUUUUUUUUUUUUUUUUUUUUUUUUUUUUUUUUUUUUUUUUUUUUUUUUUUUUUUUUUUUUUUUUUUUUUUUUUUUUUUUUUUUUUUUUUUUUUUUUUUUUUUUUUUUUUUUUUUUUUUUUUUUUUUUUUUUUUUUUUUUUUUUUUUUUUUUUUUUUUUUUUUUUUUUUUUUUUUUUUUUUUUUUUUUUUUUUUUUUUUUUUUUUUUUUUUUUUUUUUUUUUUUUUUUUUUUUUUUUUUUUUUUUUUUUUUUUUUUUUUUUUUUUUUUUUUUUUUUUUUUUUUUUUUUUUUUUUUUUUUUUUUUUUUUUUUUUUUUUUUUUUUUUUUUUUUUUUUUUUUUUUUUUUUUUUUUUUUUUUUUUUUUUUUUUUUUUUUUUUUUUUUUUUUUUUUUUUUUUUUUUUUUUUUUUUUUUUUUUUUUUUUUUUUUUUUUUUUUUUUUUUUUUUUUUUUUUUUUUUUUUUUUUUUUUUUUUUUUUUUUUUUUUUUUUUUUUUUUUUUUUUUUUUUUUUUUUUUUUUUUUUUUUUUUUUUUUUUUUUUUUUUUUUUUUUUUUUUUUUUUUUUUUUUUUUUUUUUUUUUUUUUUUUUUUUUUUUUUUUUUUUUUUUUUUUUUUUUUUUUUUUUUUUUUUUUUUUUUUUUUUUUUUUUUUUUUUUUUUUUUUUUUUUUUUUUUUUUUUUUUUUUUUUUUUUUUUUUUUUUUUUUUUUUUUUUUUUUUUUUUUUUUUUUUUUUUUUUUUUUUUUUUUUUUUUUUUUUUUUUUUUUUUUUUUUUUUUUUUUUUUUUUUUUUUUUUUUUUUUUUUUUUUUUUUUUUUUUUUUUUUUUUUUUUUUUUUUUUUUUUUUUUUUUUUUUUUUUUUUUUUUUUUUUUUUUUUUUUUUUUUUUUUUUUUUUUUUUUUUUUUUUUUUUUUUUUUUUUUUUUUUUUUUUUUUUUUUUUUUUUUUUUUUUUUUUUUUUUUUUUUUUUUUUUUUUUUUUUUUUUUUUUUUUUUUUUUUUUUUUUUUUUUUUUUUUUUUUUUUUUUUUUUUUUUUUUUUUUUUUUUUUUUUUUUUUUUUUUUUUUUUUUUUUUUUUUUUUUUUUUUUUUUUUUUUUUUUUUUUUUUUUUUUUUUUUUUUUUUUUUUUUUUUUUUUUUUUUUUUUUUUUUUUUUUUUUUUUUUUUUUUUUUUUUUUUUUUUUUUUUUUUUUUUUUUUUUUUUUUUUUUUUUUUUUUUUUUUUUUUUUUUUUUUUUUUUUUUUUUUUUUUUUUUUUUUUUUUUUUUUUUUUUUUUUUUUUUUUUUUUUUUUUUUUUUUUUUUUUUUUUUUUUUUUUUUUUUUUUUUUUUUUUUUUUUUUUUUUUUUUUUUUUUUUUUUUUUUUUUUUUUUUUUUUUUUUUUUUUUUUUUUUUUUUUUUUUUUUUUUUUUUUUUUUUUUUUUUUUUUUUUUUUUUUUUUUUUUUUUUUUUUUUUUUUUUUUUUUUUUUUUUUUUUUUUUUUUUUUUUUUUUUUUUUUUUUUUUUUUUUUUUUUUUUUUUUUUUUUUUUUUUUUUUUUUUUUUUUUUUUUUUUUUUUUUUUUUUUUUUUUUUUUUUUUUUUUUUUUUUUUUUUUUUUUUUUUUUUUUUUUUUUUUUUUUUUUUUUUUUUUUUUUUUUUUUUUUUUUUUUUUUUUUUUUUUUUUUUUUUUUUUUUUUUUUUUUUUUUUUUUUUUUUUUUUUUUUUUUUUUUUUUUUUUUUUUUUUUUUUUUUUUUUUUUUUUUUUUUUUUUUUUUUUUUUUUUUUUUUUUUUUUUUUUUUUUUUUUUUUUUUUUUUUUUUUUUUUUUUUUUUUUUUUUUUUUUUUUUUUUUUUUUUUUUUUUUUUUUUUUUUUUUUUUUUUUUUUUUUUUUUUUUUUUUUUUUUUUUUUUUUUUUUUUUUUUUUUUUUUUUUUUUUUUUUUUUUUUUUUUUUUUUUUUUUUUUUUUUUUUUUUUUUUUUUUUUUUUUUUUUUUUUUUUUUUUUUUUUUUUUUUUUUUUUUUUUUUUUUUUUUUUUUUUUUUUUUUUUUUUUUUUUUUUUUUUUUUUUUUUUUUUUUUUUUUUUUUUUUUUUUUUUUUUUUUUUUUUUUUUUUUUUUUUUUUUUUUUUUUUUUUUUUUUUUUUUUUUUUUUUUUUUUUUUUUUUUUUUUUUUUUUUUUUUUUUUUUUUUUUUUUUUUUUUUUUUUUUUUUUUUUUUUUUUUUUUUUUUUUUUUUUUUUUUUUUUUUUUUUUUUUUUUUUUUUUUUUUUUUUUUUUUUUUUUUUUUUUUUUUUUUUUUUUUUUUUUUUUUUUUUUUUUUUUUUUUUUUUUUUUUUUUUUUUUUUUUUUUUUUUUUUUUUUUUUUUUUUUUUUUUUUUUUUUUUUUUUUUUUUUUUUUUUUUUUUUUUUUUUUUUUUUUUUUUUUUUUUCCAUGUUUUUUUUUUUUUUUUCAAACAAAUACCUCCAACAGGAUUAACACUAGUAGGUGUUUGGACAACAAGUCCAAAAACAUCAAAUUUGUCUUAAAAAGUCAAUUUCGCAUAGAUUAAUUCUUCCAAGUAAGACCAGUUAUAUCUUAGUCUACAUUUAUUGACGGAUUGUGGUUUAGUGAAUUAGUAGCUACUAUAAAUGCAAAAAUAAAGUUGAUGAUUGCUCUUUGAGAUUUUACAAUUUUUGUAUAUAAGCCAAAUUUGUAGACUUUUCUUCAUUUUGAGCCACAUCAAGAGCUUGGUCGGCAUCUAGGUAUUUUUCAUCUUUAGGAGAUACUGUCACUGUGGAGACACAUGCCUUAUCAAGGACCUUUUGCUCUAAAGUAGCACUUUCACUUAUAAUUUGAUCAUUCACAAUAACAAGAUCCAAACUCUUGUUUUUCUUUUUCAUGGAAUACUAUCUUUUAAAAGUGGUUUACCAUGCUUCAAGCGUGCUGUAGACAAUUCAUCAACUGCUUUUCUAUCAGAAUGUUGAAUAUGAACUAUUACCUGGUCAAGUAUAUUUGUAGCUGGUGCAUAUGACUUGGAUAGUUUGCAUGCAUCUAUAAAUGCAUCUGGGAAUUGAUUUACAAUUUGUUGUAAGUAAAUUAUCUUCCACACUCCAUUUUCACUUUGGGUGGUUUAAAAAUAUAGACGAGACAAGUUUCUUACUUGUCAUGAAAGCUCAUGCCCAUCAUCAUAUGACAGUUUUUUCCUUCGCAACAGAAAAUAUUUUAUCUUAUCAAAAUGAAAAUUUGUAAAACAUGGUAAAUAAAUCACUUUUAAUGGGUUUAAAAUAUCUUAUAAUAGACAGCGAGUCAAAAUCCAUAUAGGUUCUUAAACGUCAUUGAGGUCUCAUUUUAGUACACUAAGGAGGUGCAACAAGCACUUUUACAACAUAACUAAAGGUGCACAAGUAGUGCAUAUUAGGUUGAUACCCUAAAACUAAUUGUAAAACUUACGUAAUAUUGGCGAGAAUAGUAAUCCUAAAGCAUACCAAUACCACAACAUGCAAAAUAGCAUGUCCACUAUGUAGAAGUAGAUAAUUAAGUACGUAAUAACAAAGUUGUUACAAUUAUCUAAAGAUGUUUGAUGGAGGAUUCUGCUAAUCCAUUCUAAGUAUCAACAUGUGGUGCUCAUCAAUCCCAACUGAAAUGCGGUAAUUAUCAAAAACCUUAGAAAUGAAAUUCCCAGCAUUAGCUAGUUGUAUAUCAAUGAUUAGAUAAUCUGAAAAUCGCUCUUGUUACCUAAUAAUUUGUGCAAGUAAUCUAGCAAAAGCAACUUUAUGUAUAGAUAAUAAAAAAAUUUGGGACUAUUGCAUGGAUGCAUUAAUCAAGACUAUAAAAUAAGGAAAUAUAUCAUUAGGUAGGUUAAUAGGUCUAUAAGUAUCUCCCUAAACUUUUAUAACAAUGAUGAAGAUUCAAGAUCAAUCUUAAAAAUAGAUGGUCUAAUUAUUAAUACAUCUUAAGAAUAGCAGUGCAAGUAUUUUUACUAGAUAAAAGAAUCUCUAAAUUCUUUAAAGGUUUUUCAUGAGAAUUCUCAAUAAUUCUAUACAUCAUACUUGAUCUAAGAUGGCUGAGACGAUCUUGCCAAAGCAUAAAAGCUUUUGGAUCAUCAAGUUUCCAGUUUAUGACUAAGUAGCUCUCUACUUCUUUUAUUGUCAUAUAAUAUAAGCCAGAUGAGAUAAUUGGAAGCUUCUCCAAUGUAAGUUUCUGGCCCGAGACAUUAUGAAAAAUAUCUUUAAAGCUCAAAUGAUAUGAACAAGGCUCUCCUCGAGUCCACAAUUAGAUCCGCAGGACCUGAGAUGACAUUCAUAUUAGCUUUAAAUAAUUUUAAACUCAUGAAGUAUUUCUUAAUAUAAAGAAUAAUAUGUGCAUUUCUCUAUCAUAUAAUUGAGCUUCAAAGAUCUAGAUCCUUUCACAAAAGAAAACAUAUAUUAGACAGUAUUAUAAUAUAAUACAAAAAAAAUAUAAGCAUAUAAAAAAUAAUCCAUAAAAGUCAAUAGUUGAUCUUAAUCGAUAUGGCUAUCUCCAUCACCAAGUAAAUCAGUUGUAUUCUCAUCAUAGUGUUCGAAAAAGUCUGAGACAUCCUUAUGUGUGUUAUCAACUGAAAUAGCAUAAUUCAUCUUAAUAUUCUUUUCUAUUAUUUUCUUUCUGCAAAGAUGUUUGAUACAUAUCAACAAGAUGCAUAAAUGCACAGUAAAAUCACCAAUGAUGGCCUGUAGCUCCACACCUAUUAUAAGUGCUUUCUUGAACCUUACUUUAGGAAGAUUUUUCUUCAUCAUUCUUCCAAUUUUGAUUACUUUUAUUGUAAUCAUCACAGGGUUAAUAAUUGUAACCACGAUUACGACUAUAACCACACUCAACCACGACCAUGAUUAUAGUUAUAAUGUUUAUAGCAUCUUUGAUUCUCACUAUGACUGUUGAAACAACAUUUGCUUCAAAAGUGGUGUUUGCUUUCGGAAAUGGCUUUGUAACAGCCAAAUGAGCUUGAUAAUCUUCAUUAGCAAUUCAUUAUUCUUCUCAGCAAUAAAAAGGGCAUGAAAUUAGGUCAAAAUACUUCUUGUACUCACAAGCUCGAUAUUAUUACUGUAGAACCAUGUUUGAUGCAUGAAAUGUUGAGAAGGUCAUCUCUAAUAUAUCUUCAUCAGUAAUAUUUCCUUCACAUAGUUUCAAUUGUGAUGUGAUUCUGUAAAGUAUAGAGUUCUAAUUAUGAACUAACUUGAAAUCUUGCAGUUGAAGUUGAUUUCAUUCGCUUCGAGGAUUUGGAAGUAUAAUUGACUUUUAUUGGUCAUAUCUAUCAUGUAAUGUUCCAAAAGACAUGUGGGUCCUUUACAGUGAGAUAUGAUGGUGAAAAAAGAUUACAGUCUUGAUGCGUUCUUGAGCAAAUUCAUUUUUGCUAGGCUUAAUUUUGUUGCCGAGGCCCAUGGCAUCAGGGUGAAUAUCUAAAUCAAGGAUCUAUGUAAAACAUUUUCCAUCGCAUAUAUCAAAGGCUUCAAAUGCUAUCUUCAUUAGGAGUGGGAAAAAAAACUGAUUAAUCAAAAACCGAACCGAAUCGAACGGUUCGAUUUUUGUGCGGUUUUUUUACAUCUAAAAAACCGAAUGAGUAAUAUAAUAAAAAUAGUAAAACUAGUCGGUUCGGUUUUCGAUUUAAAAAAAAAAAAACGAACCGGAUAUCAAAUAAACCGAAUGUCAAAUAACAAUCCCUAAAAUCUGAAGUCUAAACUAAACAAGGCUGAACUCGUGACCUUCACCCGCAACACCUUCAGCCGUUGGAAUCUCGUCCCCGCUGUUCGUCGCCACUGCUCGUCAGUCGUCACCGCUGCUCGUUGCUGCUGUCACGGUGCUCCCCUGCUACCAUUAUUUGUCUGAAUAUAGUGGGCUCACCGCAAAGAUUCUUUUGUUUUUGUCAACAAAAUCUCUCAGUAGAACAAAAAAUCGAACGAAAAAGGUUCCAUUUUUCGUUUCGGUUUUAUGAAUUUGGUUUAAAGUUCAUUUCUUUUUCCUCGUUCCCAUGUUUUUGUUAAUGUGCUUGAGUUAUGUAAAUAUCGCUGCCGUUUUUGUCUGGUUUGUUAUGUUUUUGCAGAGAAUAAAAAUCAAUAACUUGAGCUGCUGCUGAUUGUUUCGUGUUUUGUUUCGUAAUUUGUUGAGGUUCGUUCACUUGAGACGUUAUAUUUAGUUAUACCCAUGACUACUAAUUUGUAUGCCAAAAUUGAUUUUUGAUUUCUGAUUCAUUCUUUUGUUUUUUCUUUUCCCCCAUUUGGGUGAGAUAUGGUUUGUUUCUUUGAUUGAAAGAUGAUUGAAUGAUUGGUUUUUUCAGUUUUUUCAGUUUCUUUUCCCAAAUCGCAAACUGGAUACUGUUGAGAUUGAUCAUGAUUUUUAUAUCUUAGAGCUGUGUUUGAAAAUGUUCUCUAUAGUGUGCGGUGAAUUGCUGGAUUCACUGAUAUUUUCCAGAGCACGUAAAGCAGUUUCAUAACUAAAUGCUGGUGCUAUGAAUUGCUGGUGUUGUCUUUACUACUGAUGAAAACUAAAGGUCUAAAGCAAGUUCAAACACGUCUCAUUCAUGACUUUUUAAGUUUGUAUAUUCAUAACUAAAUUAAUUAAUCAAAAACGCCAGUAAGUAUUAAUUUUCUGCAACAGGUUCAGACAAAAACAUUUUCCAGCUGGUUCUGCUAACUAACUCUAUAUGGAUCCUUAAUUAAACUAUAACCUAAAUUGAUUUUUUGGUUAAUUUUUAUUUUUUAGAGGCUUCCACCUAUGAUUUGACACAUGUCCCAACAAUCAUGAAAAUGGGGAUAAUAAUAAAAGCAUUAAAAGAUUAAAAACUUUUAACUAAGAAACAAAUCGUUUGUUUAAAUAAAUUUUUAUCUUUUAUGUAUGGGUCUUUAUUUGAACAUGUUAUUUGUUCUUGAACAUAUUUUGAGACAUAUUUUGAUUUUUUAUUUGUUAAUUUUUUAUGUUUGUGGUAGAUUUAUUAAUUUAAGAUUUUAAAUUUAAAAAGCCCAAAAUAAGUCCAAUAGACCCAUAAUCGAAAUAAUCGAAUCAAAUCGAAUCGAAUUAUUUCGAUUAAUCGAAUAUUUGAUUAUUUCGGUAAUUUGAUUAAUCGCGAUUAUGAUUUUAAAAUAAUCAUAAUCAAACGAUUAUGAAAAAUUUAGUAAAAAACCGAACCGAACCGAACCGCGCCCACCCCUAAUCUUCAUUAAGUUUGACAUCUUUAAGGGCUUCAACAUCUGUCAAAUUUAUGGCUUUAGAUGUAAAGGCUUCAAUUUUGAUAUUGUAAGGCUUUCAAUUUGAAUUUCAUACACUUCGGCCUUGAUUUACACUUCAAUCUUGAUUCUUCGGCUUCGCUUGUAAUGUUAGUAAUAAAAUAAAAUAACUAGCCUUAUUUUCUAAUGUGAAAUAUUCAAAUUAAUGGUGACCACAUAGCAUACUUAUAAGCAUAGUUUUAUUAAAUAAACAAGUAAAAUGAAGAGUUAGGGAUAAGAUUCUUCUUAUACCAAAGCAAUAGUCAUGCUGAUAACAUGUUAUAAUUUUUAACAAGAAAUAAUUGUAGUUUAAGUAAAUAAUAUAAAGCAUAAGAGAGCUAGCUAGAUACGUAAAGUUAGGCAGAAAAUUGAAUUGAUUUGGAAUUGUAUAUCAUAUAGACGGCUUUGCACCCUUGUUUAUAAAACAUGCUGUGCAACUAAAUUUAGCGAUAUCUUAAGUAUAUUACUUAGUUGUUUACCUUGGCUUGCAGUUAAUUUGACUUAGCAUAGCUAAGUUACCGAGUCAAGCUUAGUCAAUUAACUACAGCCAUGUGUGUAGCCAAAGAAAUCCUUGCUCACUUGAUUUACAUCCACAUCCGAAUUAAUUGGCUUUAUUUGCAUAUGUGGCUAUAUUGACUUACUUAUUUAGCCAAUUGUAACUAGCGGUGCAUACACUAACGAAAUCUCACGAUGGAGAGCCACGAACUUCCAUAGUAGUUCUACUAUUUUCAAUCAAAACAAUUUUGUCAAUGAUAUUCAUUUGUUUUCAUCAUCCUUAAUUACGCUGUACGUUGAAUCAUACUCAAAUAGUAGCUCAUGAGUUAAGGUUGCCUAAGGUUCUAUUUUUAACUAAUUAUUACAUAAAAAAAUGGAGUGAGUUAUAUUUAUACAUGAGUUAGCUUUCAUUUCAUAUAAAAUUCCGUAAGUAUAACUCAGAUUCAAAACUAGUUCAUGAGUUGAGAUGAAAUUCCCUCAAGUUUAAUUAUAUUAUUAACUCAAGAUUUAUUCUCAUCCAGUAUGAAACAAUCUCCUUACCGGGAUUUCGAACAUAAAAUCUUGAAUCCGAUAUUAAAUCAACGAAACCAUUUGACCCAAGCAUAGAGAUAAAAGGUAAAAAAUUAAAGCUAUUAAAAAAAAAGAAAAAGAAAACUUGUAAUUCAAAUGGGAAAUUAUUUGUAGACAAUAUUUUAUUUACUAAACAUUUUUCGCUUCACAUAUAUUAAUUUGGUUCAUGCACUUUUGACAGAAUCCUUUCAUGAAAAGGAAUUUUGGAUCUUAGUGUGAACCCAAAAUCAUAAACAGCGAAACCCACUAUGAAAAUUUCCCUUUCACAACUUUAUUUCAAUUAAUAAAUCGAAACCAAAAAUUAAUGGUUCAGUAUAAAUCCCUUUCACAAGUUUACUUCAAUUAAUAAUUCGAAACCAAAAAUUAAUGGUUUAAUAUAAAGGUCAAUAAGUUUUCUCAAGUUUGAAACCAAAUUCAUGCAUUGCAAAAAAUAUGGAGCUUGGGCUGUAAAGUGAAAAAGGCGUCAAGAAUUUCAACCAAAGUUUUAAAAAAGGAAAAGAUGCACAUGCCACUUUGAGUAACAAUGAGUAUUCAAGAAUGAAAUGUAAACUUUGGGAUGGCUCACGGGACACCUUCCCAUAAAAAAAAACCUUAAAUUCCCACAUUUGGAAAUAGAAAUUGUAAAGGAGAAGCUCCACAGAAUCUGAAAAAAUUAUAAAAAUAAGUACAAAAGUUCCAAUUUUUUGUUGUCCUUUUCAUGGGAAAUGAAAUGAGCCAAUUACAUUCGGUGCGCAUAUUUUCAUCUUGACACUUGGCUUUUUUUUUUUCCUGGUGGAUCUUGGCAGACAAAAACACAAUGGAAAAUGUUAUUGGUUAUUAUGGCAGUAAGAAUGAGGAAGAAAAAAAUCAUUAAAGGCUGCGGUCAAUUGAGAAGAUUGAAAAGAGAUUUGCAGAAUUUGCAACAAUUGUGAGUGGAAGACAAAUUUGAGAACCCAAUCACACAAUUGGUUGACUUAUGAAAAGGUGAAUUUCAUUUUGAAAUGUUCUCUUAAUGGAGAGGGUGAGAUGAAUCCAGCCAUAUUCUUUGGUAAAGCUUCGCAUCUAUAGUUCUAUGUACUGACAACUUUUUGAUUUAAGUCCUGUUAAAUUGCUUGCUGAGAAGUGCUUUUGCUGGCUGCCCAUUUUGUCGAAAAUAUGGAGUUCUUCGUAAUCAUUAUGUUUUAUGGAUAGUUGCUAACCAUGAGAGUCGGCAAAACUUAACAAAUCCCAUUUCCCGUAUGUUGAUGCUUAGUGGUAAAGAACAUAAGUUGGUUGCAUUUUGAUGUUUUACAUAGAAAUACUGACGAUUUAUUGAGUUAAUAAGAGUGCAUGCAAUUCUUUUUAUAGUUUAAAAACAUGUCCGGUUCUUGAAAAUUUCUACUCACAUAAAUAUUUUUAAGCGUGUAGGUUAAAGAGUUCGUUGAAUCAGAUUUUUAUUUAUUUAUUAUUAUUAUUUUUGGUUGUCAUCCUUAGCCACGUAUAAGAAUUCUUAUACUUAUUAUUUUAUAUAGUAUAAGAAUUUAGAAAAAAAAAAAAGUGUAUACACAAAAAUAUACUCAGAAAUAAAUAAUGCAAUAAAUUGGGGAAAUGGGGUAUGCCAAAUUUAUUCUAAGGUGUCAGAAAUUCCAUCUGAGUUUGGGAACUGAAAUAAAAAAAUUUCUGGCGAGUGUUGGACAAAAAUUGAUGAAGACAGAGCAGGAAAAACAGCUGGAGUGCUUUUGUCAUUUUCUAGACUUGUAAUUAACUUGUAUAUUGUAAUGGGAAUGCUUUGAUGAAAUGGGCCCCUUGCGCACCCCCUUGGGUGGCCCAAACUUGAAAGCACUUUUUGGAUUCUUUUGGAUGAAAUGAUGUAAUUGAAAGAAUUGAGUUGGCUUCUAAGUAGUUGAUGACAUUGACAAAAAGAGAGUGCUAUAUUAUAUAUAUGGACUUGACUAGCUUACAGAAUCUGUAAGCUACAGACUGCAGCAUCAGGCGUUGGAUGUGGUUCAAUGUGGAGUGAGAUACUAAACAAUAGACAAUCGGAUGGUGGGAUGACGGGAGCUUUUUGUUACAGAUUUUGUACCAUAAACACGUCCUUAUUAGCUUAUUUCGUUUACCGAUGUCAUCAUUACGUACUUUAUCCACUGAUGUAACAAUUGUGUCAUUUUGUCUGCAACUUGCCUUCAGCAUCUGUUUUUACUAUGCACAUUAGGACUUGACUAGCUUACAGAAUCUGUAAGCUACAGACUGCAGCAUCAGCCGUUGGAUGUGGUUGGAUGUGGAGUGAGAAACUAAACAAUAGAAAAUCGGAUGGUGGGAUGACGGGAGAUGUUUGUUACAGAAUCUGUACCAUAGACAGGUCCUGUAUAUACAUAUACAUAUAGAACUAGCUAGCUAGUAUAUGAAAACUUGUGCGUCAGCUCCCGAAAAAUUAAGCCAAGAGUAAGAAAUUUACUUAAUUUGACGAGCAUCAGUCAAAAUUCUAACGACAAAAAUAACGUGUGUAUAUAUUAGUGAGCAUAUAAGUAUAUAUAUAGGCUGUAUCAUAAUAAAAUUAAAUUGGAUUAUUCUCUGUAAAUUUGUACUGUAUUCUAUAUAUUUUUCAUGAUUUGUGCAAACAAAAGGAAUAUCAAAGUAGCUUGUUUUAUCAUCAACAGUGGCGAAGGAGAUUAGGUCCACAUAUUCUCAUGCCAUAUGUUUUAUUUCAAUUUGAAAAUCGAGCGGAUACGAGAGUAUCUUAUUUCUAGUAGAAAUAGAUUGGAGAGAGACAUAGAAAUUGGUACAAUUAUUGGUAUGAUGAUACAGUCAGAGGAUAAUAUUUAUAAUAAGCAAUAAUUUUAACCUAGACUUUUGUAAAAGAUGCCGAACGACGUCCCGCUGGCAGGCUUUGAAUUGUUUCUUCGGACCACACAGUGUGUUUAUUAUCUAUUGUUUAAUGGAGGUCAAAUUUUGCCUGACACCACCCUUAAUUUCUUAGUUUCACACGAAUCAUCGAGUAAAACUUGAAGAUUUCACUCUGCUUGGUGUAUUCUUUUUUCAAGGAAUCAAUGAUUCAUUGCAGAAAGCGCUUGGAUGUGGAUGCUGCUCAUCAAGAUUCAAGACUGUGUAAACAGCGUAACUAUGACUCCAUUUAUCCCUUUGGCAAUUGGUAUUUUAAUCAUUGUGAUUUUUAAAUCCACCCUUGCUGUAAAAUAUAGUUAUCUACUGUCCACACAAAAUAAUAAAAAUUAAUUAGAUGUCAACUAAGAUAGAAUUUCAUUGUCAAUUUGAUAGCUACAUCUAAUUUUUACAGGUCUUUGAUAAAUUGUUGCUAUUAUUUUGAAUUUGUAAUCUCUUACUUCCAUUAUAAGCGUUUUUUUUUUUUGAACUGAUUAAGCAUGAGGUUACUGUAUUACACAGAGAUAUUUACAAAUGACAACAUAUCAUUGCAUUGAUAAUAUUUACAAUCAGAUAUAUAUCUGGGACUUACAUUAUUACAUUUUUAUUCUUUGAAGUAUACGCCCAGCCAAAUACCCCUCUCGGUGAGGGAUGUCUCUAUUCCACUCGCAUUUCGCAAGAGAAAAAGACGUUAUAAGUAAUCUCCACACAAUUAUAAUUAAUUGAGGGAGUUUGAGUCUGUAGGGACUCGAACCAUUGCCCUCAUAGUCAUGCUUGACUUUAAGGACAAUGAUUCACCACUGGGCUACAAGCCCAAGUGGCUCCAUUAUAAGAGUUAAGCUACCUAAUCGAUGGUUUACAUAUAAUUUUUUAUGAAAUUUAUGAUCACAAGAAAAAAAAAGAUAAAAAAAUUGGUAUUUCUUGAGAAUGAGCAAGCCAUUCAUCAACAUCCAGCUUCCACCAUCACUACCACCACUAACCUUUAUCGGCAUCAUUUUCGUAUGUAAAUUUUUAUCAGGAGAUUUUAUUUUGUUAUCAUCGCUAAUUAUUAUAAUUCUAACUUUUUUUUAUCAUCAUACGUAUGUCAUCAAAGACCUUUAUCUGGAAAAUGGUUGCUGAUUUGCUAUACAUCACCAACGCUGUGUAUUAAACUUGUUAAAAGAUAAGUUGUGAUAAUAUAUGACAAGUGCGAAUUGAAGUCAUAUUGUACGAUGCCAUUCAACCUGCCCUAUAUCUUCUUUUGCUGUUAAAGCUUUAUUGGAAUAAUCAUUCAGGUGAAUGAAAAUGAUUGUUUUGUUGAAGAUUUUUUGAGUUACAGUCACACUACAACUAUUUCACGCAUGAAUAGGAGCAAACCUGGGGCUUUGAUUACAUCAUUAGCCUCUAUGAUUGGAAAACAGUGCCCCACAUGCGGUUAUUGACACAAUACUUAAUUAAAUCUCAGUCGCACAUUUAAAGAAACCAAACUCAAAAGCUUAAAUUGACAGAUAAAGGCCAACAAAUAUAAUUGCGGACUAUCAGUCUUAAAACUCUUAACAAUUCAUCACGAUAUGUGCAGAUUUCCACCAAUAGAUUUAAGCUCAUUAUGUGAUGUAAUGAUAGUUAACAACAUCUCGCUAAUUAAGCAAACCAAAGAUGAAAAUGGUUCUAAGAGAAACUUUUAAUGCAAAAAUGUCUAUACAAUAAUAUGCACCAUUUGAUGUAUCAAUGCGUACGUCUGUAAUUUUAUUGUUUUUUAAGGUUCUUGAAUGUGGAUAUCGUAUUGCACCUUUUUUUUUUUUUUUUAAUGUGUACUCUUAAAACGCACAUUAAUUAUUAUUUGUAUAGCUACAUCGUGCGGAGAGUAGGAGGAUAAUAUUUUACUUAAGCUUAAUUUGAUAGCUCCUCUAAUCUAAAUUAAUGAUUAAAAAGAAAAAUCUUUAAAAUAAGUAGUCUUAUCCGAAAAAUCGUGAGUGUGUGUGUAGACGUGAGAGUGAAAACAUUCACGAGAUGCAAAAAUAAUUGUCCUUCACGUCCAGCUAGCCCUUCUGUUUUAGCCAUUGACCCUAAACUGUAGGUUGUCUUCAUUGCAAGCAACUAAGCAAUGGUGUGAGAGAUAUGUCGCUCCGUCAAUAAUUUCGUCUCUUUCACAACUUAGUGGGUUACCUACAAGCUUAUAGGGCUCAAUAGCUGAGGCCAGGUAUAUAAAUUAUGAGGCUUCCUGAGAUUCUUCGUCCUUUAGCUUUGGUUACGGCGCAGAACUGAGUUAUCUGCUGGACGAGAGAGUGAUCGCCACAAAAAUUAAUCUUUUAUAAUAUUUUUAUAAAAAAAAAAUAAAACAAAAGAAAAAGAAAAGAAAGUAAGAAAGUGGAUUGCAAAUCCAACCAAAGAAAAAGGAACACAUGCAACACGCCUCAAAAUUAGGGCCACAAUCCAAACAAUCUGACGUGCGCCUGCAAGUGCUUGUGUGGGUGCUAGCUGCUAACCCCACUUUCUAUUUUUCUUUUCGAGAAAUGAGAUUAUGCGGAACGCGUUGGAGCAAGCAAGCUGCAAGCAUUCAAAAGCAAAUAAGCAGUAAUACUAAUUCACGUAUUAUACAUGUUGAUGAGAAUGGACCAAAACUGUUCCAACAGUGACAAGCAUGAUCCCCAAUUUUAACCAAGGUUAAAGUAAUAAUUUUUUAUUGCCAUAAAACUAGUUGUUAAAGAUCAGUAUACAACCAUUUGACUGAAAAAAUCGAACACCACCUCUUUCAUGGCUUUCAAAUAUUCGCCCGUAAGAAAACAAUUGGCUUUAUUUUCUUGGGUGUUUUGCUGUGAAAAGAUGAAAGAAGAUUCAAUGGAGAAAGAAGUCGUGAUAUGUACCAUCAAUCACAAUUCACAAACCAUGUGCAAUUUGUCUUGUUCAAUCAGGUUACUGCUGUGGAGAUAAAUAUGAAGUGUCAUCUCCUUCGUGCAUACGCAUUUUAAACCCAACUUUAUUUUCUGUGGGACAUAUAUACUUCCUUCCUUAACUCUCUAACAAAAUAUUCUAUAACUAAGGCAGUAAAAUUCUUAAUUAUAAAUUUAUAAAUCUUGUAAACUCUCCAUAACCCUCCACAGGUGAUGAAUAAUAAUAUAGGUACGUUUAACAAUGGUUUGAUAUCACACAUCUCCACUAUUCAUUUGUCCAAUUUUGGAGGGUUAUCAAACAAUUGUCAGAAUGAUGAGAAUAAGCCCAAUUGACUUGGACGACUUGGGUUUUGGCCUCUUAGGAAACCCCAUUCAAAGGCCUUUUCUUUAAGGUAAAUAUGGGCCGCCAUGUAAAACCCAAACUUUUGAAUUGGACUCAUUAGAUAGCCCGAGUUAGUUGACUACAAAUAAGAGUGCCCAAAUAGUUUAUUGAAGCACCCCUACCCAUUUAGUGGUAACACCAAUUUAACCUCACUUAAAAUCAUUCUUAUAACCCCAAUUUUUCUCUCUUAAAAGUCAAAGCAGAAGUUUUAUUUUCUUUAAAAAAAAUUCUUAAAAAUUUUCAUCGAAUAUUUUUAUUUAAUUGAUCACAAAAAUUUAAGUUCUGAAUAGGAAGAAGAUAAAAAUUAAUUUUGGCUUUUAUCACUCCUACAUUUAAAAAUAAUGUAUAUAUACUAUUAUACAAAUUUAUUGUUCAUAUUUGCUUAUUCUUGGUUUAAAAAAUAGCAAUAAUAAAAAGGUAUCUUGUUCGGGAUAUUAAAAUUUUUCUAAAAUUAACAAAUAAUGCAAAAAACAUGUUUAUUGUACGAGUUUUUAGUUAAAGAAUAUAUCAUUGCAUUUUACAUGUGAGUUUAAUUAAUAUUUUAUAUAAUUGAAGGGGCAAGCAUGGGCUGGUUUGGUUUAAAACCCAAACCAAAUCAUAAAAGUUUGGGCCCAAUUCAAACCAAUCCAAAUCAAUUAAUUUUGAGUUUAGUUUGAAUUUUAUGAUCAUUUUAUAUUUCGAUAAAUUUUGUUAUGUCAAAAUUACAAUAAUUAAAUUAGUGUUAAAAUAUAAAAAAUAUAGUGGAUAAAAAAUUAUAAAUAUAAAUUUUGCAAUAACUUCAUCCUUAAACCAAAUAAUACUAGAAAAUUAAAAUAAAAUUUAAUCACAAAAGUCAUUAUUUCUCAAUAAAUAAGAGCACAAACUCUAAUAAUAAAAUUCCACAAGAAUGACAUCAACAAGUAAAUUGAAAGAAAAAAAAUAAAAAAUUAGUAGUAUUAAUCGUAUUGCAACACAAAUUCUAACAAUUUUCAUACAAAUUAAAGUAAGAUAAGACAACCCAAUUCAAGUAUCAAAGCAAUUCAUCAUAAUCAUUCUCAUCUGGAGUACUUUAAUCAAGAGCUUUCAUGAUCAACCGAGUUGCUCGAUCACCAACAAACAAAUAACAAAAAAAAAAAUUAUAAUGUUGAAUAAUUAUAAAGGUGAGUAAAUUUGGACAGGAACAUACCAAAAUCAUGAGCAUAACAUCGAUACAAAACAGUCGCCUUCGUGUUACACUUAAAUCAAAUUAUAUAUUAAAUAAAAAUAAAGUAAAAAAAUCUAGUGAUAAAUAAAUAUAUAAAUUUUUUUACUUGUUAUGAUAAACAAUUACCUGACAUCAUGGCUUUAAAAUUUUUUUUCAUAUAAUUAAAACACAAACAAUAUCAAAUUCAAAACAAACAGUCAGAUAAAUUAAAAUUUUCCUUUCUUUUUUUGGCAUUUAAGAGGUUCAGAGUAUGAAACUGCUUCAUCAAUCAGGAAUUUUCUGAAGCAGAACUGGCAAAUAAGCUGUAUAUUUUCCUCCGUGACUAGCCUAGGUUCCGGAGAGUCUAAUGCUGUCGAAAACCAACUAGAGGAGAAUUAAAGCAGAACGGGCAUACAAGCAGGAAUGAAUUCAUUUUCAUUUGUUUUGUUUAAUUUAUUUUCGCUUUUGAGUUUUGGGAAGGUAAACCAUAUCCAAAAGAUAAUGAAGUAGUUUCUUACAUAAAACACAAAUCUAACCCAUUUUUAUUAUUUACCCAACCCAAAACAAAUUUAUUUUGGUGUCGCAGUCUACAGUCUACUUAGAAAGUAAUUUUAAGUCUAAAAUUAGUUGUAAAUAUCUAGUUUUAAGACGAUUUUGCAGGAGUGUAAAUCCCCCCCCCCCCCCCCCCUUUUUUUUUUUUUUUUUUUUUUUUAAACCCCCCCCCCCCCCUUUUUUUUUUCUUUUUUUAAGAUAAUCAUGUUCUUUUCUUAAUACGAAUAAUAUAAAAAAUUCUAACAUCUAUAUUCUAAUCUACAUUCCCGGACAUUCAUCUAUACAACAGUAAUGUUUUUUUUUUUUUUUUUUCUGACUAAAUAGAAUUCCUGACGUUAGGAUAUCAAAGUGGGGUUAACGAAAAAGAAAACAGAACGAACUUCGUGGAAAUUAAUGACAACGACUAGCUACCUCUGCAAUCGCCAAUCAGGUUUAGUGGCACCAAGAUUCAACCCCCAAUUGAGCAUACAAGGCAGAAUAUUGGCUUGUGUUCUUGAUGGAUUUGGAAAUGUGUUCCGGGUCCGGACCCGGUAACAACAGUCACAGAAAGCACUAGAAUGUGUCACGGCCAGGACCAGUUCCAGAACCAUCAGAAGAGAAAAUUGGACCACAUCACAAGCCGAAAAGGUAACCAUUAAACCAAACCAAAAGUCGGGAGAUCAUUACAUUCAUUUAUGCAAAACACGAUCAUACCGGGAGUUGACAUGUACAUGAUACUUCUUAUCAGACAAGGAAGUUGAAACUAGUUUGUACUUUACUAGUAUUAUAUCAUACAUAUUACUACUGAGCAGUAGCUUUCUUGGCUUUCUUAGCAGCAGAGGACUUGAUGGAUUUGGGCUGCUUUGGUUUGGCAGCAGCCGAUUUCUUUGCCUUCUUAGGCGGAGGAGGAGCGGCGGCGGCAGACUCUGCUUUGAUUUUAGCUGCAGCAGUUACGGACCUUGUUUUCCUUGGGGCCUUGGCCUUGGUCUUGAUCUCUUUUUUGGUUUUGCCAGCUGCCGCUUCAGAGAGCUUGUAAGAGGCCCUGAUCUUGAUGAGAUUUCCUUUCGCAGCGAAGUGCUUCAGCUGCACUGCCAAUAUUUUCCUGAAAUUCGCUGGGAGCUCAUCUUUGUGCUUCUCUUCCAUGUACUUGGCUAUUGCGUAUGGGCUUGAACCGCUCUUAUCUUGCAGCGCCAUCAGUGCCUCCGUUAUCAUCUGCACAAUUAAUUACAAUAAUAUCAAAAACUUCCUUCAAUGAACGUGACUUAUAAUUUAAUUUGAUUAAAUUGACAAACCUGAAAAUAAGGAGGAUGAGAGGGGGUUUUGGACUGCUUUGGCUUCUUCUCUUUAGGAGCCUUGGGCUUCUUGUCCUUAGCAGCCUUGGCCUUCUUCUCAGUGACGACCUUUUCCGGCUCCUCCGCAGCCGGCUGCUGCUCCGUCACAGCUUCACCUUCU
Molecule: long non-coding RNA, 30803 nt
Filed under: Citrus sinensis (sweet orange)
Lineage: Eukaryota; Viridiplantae; Streptophyta; Magnoliopsida; Sapindales; Rutaceae
Description: long non-coding RNA (CSIN_LNC000453)
Source: RNAcentral